AUACAACUUUCAGCAACGGAUCUCUUGGCUCUCCCAUCGAUGAAGAACGCAGCGAAAUGCGAUAAGUAAUGUGAAUUGCAGAAUUCAGUGAAUCAUCGAAUCUUUGAACGCACCUUGCGCCCUCUGGUAUUCCGGAGGGCAUGCCUGUUUGAGUGUCAUUAAAUUC
This 166-nucleotide ribosomal RNA is filed under the name Rhodocollybia butyracea. Its description in RNAcentral is "5.8S ribosomal RNA". It matches the Rfam family "5.8S ribosomal RNA". From Rfam's summary of the family: 5.8S ribosomal RNA (5.8S rRNA) is a component of the large subunit of the eukaryotic ribosome. It is transcribed by RNA polymerase I as part of the 45S precursor that also contains 18S and 28S rRNA. The record is from RNAcentral. RNAcentral also lists the same sequence under 1 other name. Lineage: Eukaryota; Fungi; Basidiomycota; Agaricomycetes; Agaricales; Omphalotaceae.